This 200-nucleotide ribosomal RNA is filed under the name uncultured bacterium. RNAcentral's name for it is "partial 16S ribosomal RNA". It matches the Rfam family "Bacterial small subunit ribosomal RNA", at positions 338 to 535 of the family's 1533-position model. The record is from RNAcentral.
CCUACGGGAGGCAGCAGUGAGGAAUAUUGGUCAAUGGGCGAGAGCCUGAACCAGCCAAGUAGCGUGCAGGAUGACGGCCCUACGGGUCGUAAACUGCUUUUGCGGGAGAAUAAAGUCGGCCACGCGUGGCCAUUUGCAGGUAUCCCGUGAAUAAGGACCGGCUAAUUCCGUGCCAGCAGCCGCGGUAAUACGGAAGGUCC